CCUUUUCUCUCAGCCGUUUCACGAGCUUGAAAACGCAUACACAUUGCGUCUUUCAUUCUUCCUAUCCAUUAUGCACAAAUAGUCUCCGCUCUCAGCCAAAGCGUAAGUCGUUGUGCCGGUUCAGACCAAACCCCUCCCUCCUCACCCAGCUCCGAUGAUGAAUCAUCACACAGAAGGUUGCUUCGACAUCGAUUUUUGCAGAUCGAAGCUAUCCGGCUCCUUCAAUUAUCCAUCUCAGUCUCUCAGCCAAAGCGUUUCAUCGUCUUCGCUUGAUGUUGGAGUGGUGCCAGAUGGGAACGCGGUUUCAGACAUGUCGUAUUUGAACAGCUCCGAUUCGAGCGGGAUGGUGGUUUCCGGCGGCGGCGGAAGCCAGCCGGCGACGCAGCUCUGCGGGAUGGAUCGGGAGGCAAGGGUUCUGAGAUACAGGGAGAAGAGGAAGAACCGGAAAUUUGAGAAAACCAUCUUCCAUCCCGUAAGAACGGGUUAUGAUCUCAUGAGUAGUUAUGCAAACAAACGGAGACAAGGGAUUUUUUGGAGGGUUCGAAUCAGACUACGGAAGGUGGUCUACUCCAUUUGGAAGAUGGCUGAUGUUUGGCACCGGACAUUGUUCCUUAAAUGGUGGCUGCUGGCUGGGUGCUCAUACUCGAUUUGGGUUUUCCUGCAAAUUUUCAGAUUUGGUGCGCCUUUGCUGGGAUUAUGGGGAUCCAGUGUGUGCAUUGAUGUGAUUGUUCUUAAUUGAUCUUGAUUGUUAUUCGCUAGCUUUGCAGAAAUCAAAGGAAUGAUUUGGUGCGCCUUUGCUGGGAUUAUGGGGAUCCAGUGUGUGCAUUGAUGUGAUUGUUCUUAAUUGAUCAUGAUUGUUAUUCGCUAGCUUUGCAGAAAUCAAAGGAAUGGUAUUGGAAUUUCUCUCCCUCUCUCUUUAUUAUCCCUGAAAGGGCCAGACUUUUUUGUAUAUUUGGUCUUAAAUUUCUCUUCCUGUAGAAAAAGCAGUUUGCUCCCAAAUACAUAAUUGGUUUCUUGGUUUUCCUUUGCUGUUUUUGUUGAAGCAUGAGGCAAACUGUCUCUGGAAUUUCAGAUUCAUGAAUGUCUAUAUGAUAUGGGUAAUUUGCUGUUUUUGGUUUCCCUUUUACGCUUUAGGUAUGAAUACUCUCUCUGUGUUUGGUACUUUUUCAUCAAUUGCUCUAUAGUCUAUCUCAAAGAAUUUCCAUAAAAAAAUACAUAGCUUUGGAUGUUUGUCCUAAUUUGUUACUAAUGUCCCAAAUACAUAAUUGGUUUCUAAUGUAUACCUAAUUUUAAAAACUGAGUAGACCUUACUUUUGGUCUAAUUGUUUUUUUUUUUGUGCUGUUUAAUCUUAGCAGCACCUUUCUCUGAACCCAAAUCAGAUCCCUCGCUUCAAAACUAACAAAUGGGUUGUCAUGGAAUCUAAGAGCUUGCAACACCAAAUAGAGAUGAUAACUGAAAAUGCUGAGAAAAACUAUAGGUCUGGAGGUGUUUUGACAGAACCUGUGCAAAUUAUAAGAAAGCUUUAAGUAGAAGAGUCAAAGCAGAAUGAUUAGUGUUGGCUGUGAAAUAAUUAAAGGAUUGCUAAUUAGAAAAUAAAACCAAUGUGAUUUUAAUCUUGCUCUGUUGCUGUCCUUCAUUAGGAACCAUGCUAAACUUAAAGAAAGGAUCUCUCUGCUCUCUUAUCUAAUAGUAUCUUCUGAAUUUUUUUUCCAGUCUCUAAUAUUAUUUACCUGCAAUUUCAGAUGAGGCUAGAAGUUAUGAAAUAAAGUGAAUAGGUGACUUGCCCACCAAAGGUAUUCUUACAAUUUGUGCUUAUUGAGUGGAUUUUAUAUUCUUUAUUUAUAAUGCUCACUGUAAUUGAUGCACCUGUUUUAGGAAAGAAACUGAUUUGCAGGUGCUGCCCACUAUAAUGUAUGCAUAUCUUUGAUAAAUUUUUCGUUUCUUGGGUGUAUAUAUAAAGACUGAACUACUUGAUAAUAGUUGCUGCCUAGAAGUAUGGAAAGAACAAUCAAUGAGUCACUUCCAAAUCCAAGUUUUUCUUUCAGUGUCAGUCAUCUCACCAAUGCAUUUAAAGGCUGACAGUGCACCUUUCUAAAUUGCGAAAUUAUUUGUUCAUUCACAGAAAAGAGAAUGCUCCCCCAUAAACUUGACAUCUCCCACUGAUUUCUUAAAUUAUUUGUUCAUUCUCUGAUUUUUUUAAUUUGUUCUCAAAUAUGUCUUCAUGAGUUGUUUAAGCCUUACUUCUACCAUGGGUUGCCUUAUGCGGAAGAUUGAUUCUAAAUCCAGCCAAAGUUCGGCAUCCCUGAUGAGGCGAAUUGGCUGAUAUCUACCAAAAAAAAGUGAAUGUGAAGAAAAGGCAAUAAGACAGAUUAUUAUUGGUCAAUGAAUGAAGAUGCUUGCAGCCUCCAAGCUUCCGCGUGUGCUUUCCUUCAGUGCCAUUAUUAUUGACAUGAAAUUAGGUUUGCCCAUAGGUUGGAAUAGACUGCCACCGUUGUUGACUGUUUUGGUGUGUUCGGUAUUCUGAGAUUGAUUUGUAGGAAGUAGGCUUUGGCCUCCACUUUAAAUGUUUGAAAAGAUUUGAGUUGUCAUUGUGGAUCUACAAUAAAUAUUAAAUAGUUAUAUUUUGUUUCUGACUGUGAAGGGCAGUUUAUUAUAUCUUUCUUUCAAUUUUUUAAAUUUUGGAGUUCGUUUGUAACUCUCAAGCUUAUUUCUUCAGUUAAGAGCAUUCUUGAAAUAAGAUUAAAAAUAUUAAAGCUGUGCAAUUGAAAGCUGCAAAUUUGGGAUAAUUUCAAAACUCAAAACCCAGUUAAGUUACAAACACAUGCUGUAUGCAAAUUUUGCACUCAGUUUUCUAUAAUGUCAUGUUCAACAUCCAAGGCCAGCAUUGGUACUUGAUUAAUCAUCCACAGCCAAAUUUUUCCAUGCCAUUUACUUCAAAAUAGUCCUGAAAGCCUGCAGUCUUUUUUGUGCACCAUAUUUGACAGUUUAAUCAUCCACAGCCGCAAGGUGACAAUUUGAGUUGCUAUUACAGAAACAUGCACAACACAUUGAAAGAAUGAAAGAAAAGUGGUUUCGGAGGUCUCUAUUUCUUCUUCCAGGCGCUCUUCAGCUGCUCCUAACUUCUCCAACUCAUUCACUACAAGGUACUGACUUCCACUAACUUAUGUAUUAUCACUUGCAUUAUGUAAACUUUGAAUAAACCGUACUACCAUUGAGAUACAUGAUUGUUUUCUAUUUUAUUUUUAUCCCAAUAUAUUUUUAAUAGAUUUGUUUUCCUUAACUUUCUAGGUCUGCCAGUGUAUCUUUCUAAAUUCCUUCCACUAAAUUGUGGAAUUAUGAAGCUCAUAUUGUGUUUCUUUGUUUUGUUUUGACUAGCAGUUGUGUAACACCAUUAUAUUAUUAGAAAAAUUGAAACUGAUUGAGGUUGUGCACAAGCAAUAAUAUGGAGAUUAAUUGAUUAAAUUAAAACGCAAGGGGUUAGCAAAAUGAUGAAAUCUCAAAGGAAAUUCAGUGAAGCUUACAAUUGAAUAUUAAAGGUACAUAAGUUAAUAAUUCAAAUAUUUAUUACUAUCCACUAUUAAAUCUAUUAAAAAGAUUGAAGCUGAAGGGGUUGUGCACAAGUAAUAAUGUGGAAAUGAUUUGAUUAAAUUAAAACACAAGGGGUUAGCAAAGUGAUGGAAUCCCAAGGGAAUUUUAGUGGAACUUACAAUUGAAUAUUAAAGGUACACAAAUUAAUAUAUUUAUUAGUAUAUUAAAAAUUAAUUUAAUUCUUGCCUUUUGGUUCCUUUCUUUGAUGUGAGGCCCACACUCUUGAGCUCUAUAUAUAGUUACAGUAGUAUGUGCAUAGGCAACAAAACCAGACCUAAUAUUCUGUCAUGGCUAAGUUCAAGAAUCCAUAUUCUGUCAUGUGCAACAUUGUUCCUCCCUUUGCAUUUGCAGUUUUGCACCAGAUGAAUAGGGUAAUGGUCAAUUGCUCUUCUUUGUUGAUUUACACUCUCUUAUAUGUUUUCAUCUUAAUUGUUUCAUUUUGGCUCUACUUUACUUGGUCCAAAACUAUGGUAAGAUUGGUCAAGAUGUGGUGGAAUACCUACAGCUCCCAGAUGAUGGAGAAUUUCUCCUUACUGACCCAUUGGGUGUGACCAAGGAAGUAUCCUUUACUGUGGUGGGCAAAAGUCUUACCUAAUUAUAGGAUGGUGUGAGCUUCGAGAAUUUUAUCAUUUUUAUGGGAACUGUUGGUUCCUUUUUAAACAUGUGGACAACUUGAACUUUCGUUUUUCAAUAUUUGAUCCAACAUUUGCUGAGGUGAAAUAUCAUGGUUGGCCUGUGACUGUGAAGCAAGAGAAUGUUGAUAUUAUGAGUCAGAUGUUCCCUGCACCUAAGCAACCAGAAAUACCAAUGAUCUACAAAAAUUCAAGUGGUUCUGCUGUUGUGUUUUGGUUUAAAAAUAAAAAUCCUUCAUGUGUGGUAACUCUUUCAAAAACCCAAGCUGUUGGGAGUUAUGUGGCCUUACCAUCUAAAAUUGCUGUGUUUAUUCGUCAAUUUGGAGUUUCUCCGUUGAAGCUUCGAGGGCAUGUGGGUGAUGAUAUUACUUGCAAGUUGCUGAGCAAAAACAAGAAGGAUGUGAGGAUUGGAUCAGGCUGGAAGAAAUUUUGUACACGUAAUGGGGUUCGUGCAGGAGAUCUGUGUUGCUUUAAGUUUACAAAUAUCGCAGAGAGGAUUGUUGAAGUGUCUAUUGUUUUAGGGUAAUUUUAUGGGAGUGUAAUCGGAUGGCUUGCUGCUAUGUGGAAGUUUAAUUUUGUUUCUCAAUAAUAGUUAUGUCAAUUCCAAUUGGCAGAUUCGUAUAAGUUUGUUCUGAAACUUUUUCACAGAUUGUUAUUAUGUAUUUGGUUUGUUGAUCCAAUGUUCAAUGUUAGUUGUCUUGAAUC
Molecule: RNA transcript, 4926 nt
Organism: Lotus japonicus
Lineage: Eukaryota; Viridiplantae; Streptophyta; Magnoliopsida; Fabales; Fabaceae
Gene name: zinc finger protein CONSTANS-LIKE 5-like
Exons: 7
Source: RefSeq, a predicted model, not a curated record